This 401-nucleotide ribosomal RNA is filed under the name uncultured bacterium. Its description in RNAcentral is "bacterial SSU rRNA". It matches the Rfam family "Bacterial small subunit ribosomal RNA", at positions 355 to 773 of the family's 1533-position model. The record is from RNAcentral.
UGGGGAAUAUUGGACAAUGGGCGCAAGCCUGAUCCAGCAAUGCCGCGUGGGUGAAGAAGGUCUUCGGAUUGUAAAGCCCUUUCGACGGGGACGAUGAUGACGGUACCCUCCGAAUCAGGCUCGGCUAACUCUGUGCCAGCAGCCGCGGUAAGACAGAGGAGCCAAGCGUUGUCCGGACUGACUGGGCGUAAAGCGCCCGCAGGCGGCACGGCAAGUGGGGUGUGAAAGCGGCCGGCUUAACCGGCCGAGGCCAUGCCAGACUGCCGCGCUCGAGCCAUGCAGAGGGUGGUGGAAGUGCCGGUGUAGUGGUGAAAUGCGUAGAGAUCGGCAGGAACACCGAGGGGGAAGCCAGCCACCUGGGCAUGUGCUGACGCUGAGGGGCGACAGCGUGGGGAGCGAAC